Molecule: long non-coding RNA, 1239 nt
Organism: Daphnia pulex (common water flea)
Lineage: Eukaryota; Metazoa; Arthropoda; Branchiopoda; Diplostraca; Daphniidae
Exons: 6
Source: RefSeq, a predicted model, not a curated record
GUCAACUAUUUUUUUCAAACUCAUUACGUAUUCUACUGAAUGUGCCAUCGAAAUGAUGGAGGAUUCAUCUUAAUUAUUGGCUGUUUCUAUUGGACUUGCUAGAUCACCAACUCCAGAGACCAAUCUCUCAUUCCAUCUUCUAGAGAACCUUGAAUAACUGAUUGGCGGUUUCAUGUAGACAAUUUCGAGUGUAGGCCUAUACUGUUUAAUGAUUCUUUUAGAUCAUAGACGUCAAGCACAUUGAUGACACAAACAAGAAAAAGAAUAGGACUAUACAGUCAACACAAUUCCUUGUUUGCUGACCUGUUGGCUGCUCCCCUUGAAUCUCCCUGUUUGUCAACAACAAAAAAAGAGGUUCAGUAUUGUGAUCAUGCUAUCAUAAAUGGAAGUUGUGUUUGCAUUGAAUUAGAGAAGUUGUCAUCCAUAUAGCAAUUUUAAAUUUUUAAUGAUUGUUUGGUUUCUUAUUUAGAUAUGGCCUAUAUAUAAGAUCAAAUGUGUCGUUGUCCCUCCAAAAUAAGUCAAUGACCACACGUCCAACACAGAUUAUUCGUUCUGUCAUCGAACUUGACUCAUUCCAUCUUCUGGAUUGCUCAGGAAACCUGAUUGGCGUUAUCUGUCCAUUUAGGUAAUGACCGAGAAGAUGCGGCCUACAUGAAUAUCAUUUCGUCGGCCAUUAUCAUUCGACUACCCAACCGGCUUCUACUACCCUGGUCUCAACACAGCACGGAGUUUUACCCUUAAGAUUUUUGGCUGUUUUUCGCGAUGUGUGAUAUUUCGUUAGAUGAGAUGUUGAUUUUGGCGAGAAAAAUAUUGCGUGAGUGACUAAUAUUUUUACUUUAUAUUUGAUUCAAUCUAAAGAGGUCACAUAAUUUUACUGCAUUCAUCGUCAUUAUACCCUUUCAUUAUCAUUUCCAUACUGCAGAGCUAAAACUGUCUUUUUGUAGGUCUGAAUAUUACUCAUUGAAUGAUAUAUUGGUGAAUAUAUACUCAAAUGUCAAUUGAUAUAAAACCCAUCCCCAGCAACGUCAACCUGGAGAAGGAUAGGCCACUUUGCAUGGCCUUAACGCUCGAAGGUCACGGAGAUCAUUACGUAAAACGUAUCAUGUAGUGGUGUAGAGGUUGGGUGAGAAAGGGACAUGUUGCUUCAUUAUAUGCUUCAUAACCAUUUGGUAUUCAUUUUGAUAUUGGUUUUUGUAGACCCAUCCCCUGCAAAAGGAAAGGCCAGUUGGACGCUCGAAG